This 98-nucleotide signal recognition particle RNA is filed under the name Nitrospina sp. RNAcentral's name for it is "signal recognition particle sRNA small type". It matches the Rfam family "Bacterial small signal recognition particle RNA". Rfam says of the family: The signal recognition particle (SRP) is a universally conserved ribonucleoprotein involved in the co-translational targeting of proteins to membranes. Archaeal SRP consists of a 7S RNA and homologues of the eukaryotic SRP19 and SRP54 proteins. The record is from RNAcentral. Lineage: Bacteria; Pseudomonadati; Nitrospinota; Nitrospinia; Nitrospinales; Nitrospinaceae. RNAcentral also lists the same sequence under 1 other name.
UGUUGGGCCUCACGCAACGAGGCCUUGCGAACCCCGUCAGAUCCGGAAGGAAGCAGCGGUAGCAAGUUCCCCUGGGUGCUGUGAGAUACCCAGCAAUU